CCUAUACUCUUCCGUCCAACAAAAGAUGUGUCAACUUUGACUAAAUUUAAAUGCAUCUAUAUACUAAAUUAUGUUUAGAUACAUUUAAAUUUGGACAAACUUGAAACAUCUUUUGUUAGAUGAAGGAAGUACGUC
Molecule: non-coding RNA, 135 nt
Organism: Brachypodium distachyon (stiff brome)
Lineage: Eukaryota; Viridiplantae; Streptophyta; Magnoliopsida; Poales; Poaceae
Source: Rfam